Long non-coding RNA from Cavia porcellus (domestic guinea pig), 1006 nucleotides. RefSeq lists it as uncharacterized. The transcript is spliced from 3 exons. NCBI's taxonomy places the organism in Eukaryota, Metazoa, Chordata, Mammalia, Rodentia, Caviidae. The record is from RefSeq and is a predicted model, not a curated record.
UCUUUUUCCUCAUCCUCAUGAGCCCUGUCCAAUGCCUGUACCCUACUAAGUGCAGUAAUCCAGGAAGGCAAGGGAGACUGGCAGCUCCAUGCCUCAGCCAUGCCCAGCAAGGCCCCCUUCUGUGUGGAGGCAUGAGAGUACCCAGGUGGAACGGAGGGGUGCCCUACAGGACACACAGGUACAGGCUAGAGGAAGGGGCUGCUGGCUCAUACAAUCUGCAGGUUUUCCACAUGCAGGCCAGGAGAGAGCACCCGCUGUGUGGAGCGGUGCAAGCACCCAUGCUUCUGUUGGUCCAACAGUGCUAACAGUGAACCCCAAGGCCCCCAGACAAGCUGAGCUCCAGACACGUUCCACUGGCAGAUGGCUCUGUUAGCUGAGGUCUGUGCUCCACCCUCUCUGCUUCACCUGCAACCUCCUCCAACCCUCAGGAACAGACAGCCUCAGAGGUUCAAGGGUAUUCAGAGGCACAGGGGCAAGGGUGUUGGGUGUUUUGUCCCAGCAACAAGAAAAAAGUAACCAAGACACUGAGACACAGUACUGACCCCCACAGUUUAAGGAAGGAAAUAUUUCAUUGGGAGCUCACGUUCUGAGGACUCAGUCCAUGACUCGCUGGCUCACAAAACCAUCAUGACAAAGGGGUGCGACAGAGCAAAGGUGCUGGUUUCAAGGUGACUGGGAAGCAGAGCUGCGGAAAAUCACAACAGAAGACAGGACCGGGACCACAGACCCCUAGACCCACUCAUCAGGAUCUACCCAGAUAUACCCAGAGGUGUGUUCCUCCUUCUGGUAACCCCUUCCGUGAGAUCACCUAAGCAACCAAGUUCCCAUCCUACCAUCAGUGUCACAGUAGCUGAGGGAGAGGAUUGAAAGUUCAUGCCUAGCCUUGCAAUUUAGUGACUUCCUGAGACCCUGUCUCACAAUCAAGAAUUUAAAAUGGGCUGCAGAUGUGGCCCCUUGUGAAAUCCUUGGGGUAACUGGAAAUAAAGAGCAAAGAAGCAAGAUUAAA